UCUCGACUAGUAUAUCGGUUUAGUACACGCGCCUGUCAUAUGCAAAAUAUGGUCGCGCGAAAGCUGGGUUCGACUCCCAGGUCGAGAG
Molecule: non-coding RNA, 88 nt
Organism: Mycena olivaceomarginata
Lineage: Eukaryota; Fungi; Basidiomycota; Agaricomycetes; Agaricales; Mycenaceae
Source: the annotation of a GenBank genome assembly